RNAcentral lists this ribosomal RNA (253 nucleotides) under uncultured bacterium. RNAcentral's name for it is "partial 16S ribosomal RNA". It matches the Rfam family "Bacterial small subunit ribosomal RNA", at positions 524 to 776 of the family's 1533-position model. The record is from RNAcentral.
UACGUAGGGUCCAAGCGUUGUCCGGAAUUAUUGGGCGUAAAGAGCUCGUAGGCGGUCCAUUAAGUCGAAAGUGAAAUCUCAGGGCUCAACCCUGAAAUUGCUUCCGAUACUGGUGGACUUGAGGCAGGUAGGGGAAGGUGGAAUUCCUGGUGUAGCGGUGAAAUGCGCAGAUAUCAGGAGGAACACCGGUGGCGAAGGCGGCCUUCUGGGCCUGUUCUGACGCUGAGGAGCGAAAGCGUGGGGAGCAAACAGG